GGAGUGCUCGAACGGAGAAUUUAGCAGAGUUUUGAGAUAAGGAGAAUGAGCUUAAAGAAUAACGUAUCUGGGUCCCCCUUUUAUAAGCGGAGGAGGCAACGGAUUGAUGGCGACGUUUGUAACCACUUGGUAGUGGGCCGCCCAUGAUCAGGGGAAUUGAUUGCGAAAGAUAGUGGGGUAGACCCGUGGCUAUCGUCAUAGCCCGCCACGUAGGGCCUGUUGCAGGUAGUGGAGCGGCGUCCGUUGCCGCUAGUUGUCAGCGAGUAGUGGGAUCAUGCAGCACCUGCCGCAGGGAGCGGAGCAGAAUCGCGGCCGUU
This 317-nucleotide long non-coding RNA is filed under the name Elaeis guineensis (African oil palm). Its description in RNAcentral is "long non-coding RNA (EGUI_LNC065613)". Lineage: Eukaryota; Viridiplantae; Streptophyta; Magnoliopsida; Arecales; Arecaceae. The record is from RNAcentral.